GUAGGGAAUCUUCCACAAUGGACGCAAGUCUGAUGGAGCAACGCCGCGUGAGUGAAGAAGGUUUUCGGAUCGUAAAGCUCUGUUGUUGGUGAAGAAGGAUAGAGGCAGUAACUGGUCUUUAUUUGACGGUAAUCAACCAGAAAGUCACGGCUAACUACGUGCCAG
This 165-nucleotide ribosomal RNA is filed under the name uncultured bacterium. Its description in RNAcentral is "partial 16S rRNA". It matches the Rfam family "Bacterial small subunit ribosomal RNA", at positions 354 to 511 of the family's 1533-position model. The record is from RNAcentral.